GACGAACGCUGGCGGCGUGCUUAACACAUGCAAGUCGAACGGAAAGGCCCUGCUUUUGUGGGGUGCUCGAGUUGCGAACGGGUGAGUAACACGUGAGUAACCUGCCCUUGACUUUGGGAUAACUUCAGGAAACUGGGGCUAUUACCGGAUAGGAGCUCCUGCUGCUUGUUGGUGUUUGGUUAGUUUCGGCCGUUGGGGAUGGUCUCGCGGCUUAUCAGCUUGUUGGUUGGGUAGUGGCUUACCAAGGCUUUGACGGGUAGCCGGCCUGAGCGGGUGACCGGCCACAUUGGGACUGAGAUACGGCCCAGAAUACAACGGGAGGCAGCAGUGGGGAAUAUUGCACAAUGGGCGGAAGCCUGAUGCAGCAACGCCGCGUGCGGGAUGACGGCCUUCGGGUUGUAAACCGCUUUCGCAUGUGACGAAGCGUGAGUGACGGUAAUGGGUAAAGAAGCACCGGCUAACUACGUG
Molecule: ribosomal RNA, 468 nt
Filed under: uncultured bacterium
Lineage: Bacteria
Description: partial 16S ribosomal RNA
Rfam family: Bacterial small subunit ribosomal RNA
Source: RNAcentral